UGAACGCUGGCGGCGUGCCUAAUACAUGCAAGUCGAGCGAACAGAUGAGGAGCUUGCUCCUCUGACGUUAGCGGCGGACGGGUGAGUAACACGUGGAUAACCUACCUAUAAGACUGGGAUAACUUCGGGAAACCGGAGCUAAUACCGGAUAAUAUAUUGAACCGCAUGGUUCAAUAGUGAAAGACGGUUUUGCUGUCACUUAUAGACGGAUCCGCGCCGCAUUAGCUAGUUGGUAAGGUAACGGCUUACCAAGGCAACGAUGCGUAGCCGACCUGAGAGGGUGAUCGGCCACACUGGAACUGAGACACGGUCCAGACUCCUACGGGAGGCAGCAGUAGGGAAUCUUCCGCAAUGGGCGAAAGCCUGACGGAGCAACGCCGCGUGAGUGAUGAAGGUCUUCGGAUCGUAAAACUCUGUUAUUAGGGAAGAACAAAUGUGUAAGUAACUAUGCACGUCUUGACGGUACCUAAUCAGAAAGCCACGGCUAACUACGUG
Molecule: ribosomal RNA, 495 nt
Filed under: uncultured bacterium
Lineage: Bacteria
Description: partial 16S ribosomal RNA
Rfam family: Bacterial small subunit ribosomal RNA
Source: RNAcentral